CUACGGGCCGCAGCAGUGAGGAAUAUUGCACAAUGGGGGGAACCCUGAUGCAGCAACGCCGCGUGGAGGAUGACGCAUUUCGGUGUGUAAACUCCUUUUAUAUGUCAAGAAAAUGACGGUAGCAUAUGAAUAAGCACCGGCUAACUCCGUGCCAGCAGCCGCGGUAAUACGGAGGGUGCAAGCGUUACUCGGAAUCACUGGGCGUAAAGGAAGCGUAGGCGGGUUGGAAAGUCAGGUGUGAAAUCCUACAGCUUAACUGUAGAACUGCACUUGAAACUUCUAAUCUAGAGUAUGGGAGGGGGAGAUGGAAUUAGUGGUGUAGGGGUAAAAUCCGUAGAUAUCACUAGGAAUACCUAAAGCGAAGGCGAUCUCCUGGAACAUUACUGACGCUAAGGCGUGAAAGCGUGGAGAGCAAACAGGAUUAGAUACCCGAGUAGUC
This 439-nucleotide ribosomal RNA is filed under the name uncultured bacterium. Its description in RNAcentral is "partial 16S ribosomal RNA". It matches the Rfam family "Bacterial small subunit ribosomal RNA", at positions 339 to 795 of the family's 1533-position model. The record is from RNAcentral.